Tetranychus urticae (two-spotted spider mite) is the source of this 446-nucleotide long non-coding RNA. RefSeq lists it as uncharacterized. Lineage: Eukaryota; Metazoa; Arthropoda; Arachnida; Trombidiformes; Tetranychidae. The record is from RefSeq and is a predicted model, not a curated record.
UUUUGCUUGAAUCAUCUUCAGGUGCAUCCUAAGAAUCAUGGAAAGUAAAGGUUAAAGAUGAUUGAAACGUAGCAUCAGAAAUCGUAUAAAAGAGAUGAAAAUUGUUCAAUUAAAUCAUUCAAUUCUUGCUAUCAAACUAGUAAACAACUCUAAUAAACUAACUUUCAAUUAACUUGUGUUAAUCACCAACCCAACAAACAAAACAAUGGAAGCCCGAACCAUCAUCGUUUACAUCGCCGCUCUUGCCUCAGUUGUCGCCAUGGCUUACGCUGAUCCUGAACCAAAACCAGAACCAAUCAUUGGCGGCCUUCUUAACAGUGUUCUUGGUGGACGAUGAUUCAAAGGCUUGGUUGGUUUAUCAGUUUUGUUAACCAUCCAUAGUUAAUAAUUGAAUCAUGACUGAUAUUGAAUCAAAAAUGAAUUAAAUAAAGCAUUGAAAAAGCAAA